CCAAACCAACAAGCUUGCUUGUUGGGGUUGUAGGACUGAACAUUAGAGUUACCAAAGUGCGACGUAGUCGCAACAGUUGGGAAGCUGUGCCAUAGAGGGUGAAAGCCCCGUAGAUGAAACGUCACACUCUCUGUUUAGGAUCCUGAGUACGGCGGGACACGUGAAACCCCGUCGGAAUCCGCGAGGACCAUCUCGCAAGGCUAAAUACUCCCUAGUGACCGAUAGUGAACCAGUACCGUGAGGGAAAGGUGAAAAGCACCCCGGAAGGGGAGUGAAAUAGUUCCUGAAACCA
RNAcentral lists this ribosomal RNA (292 nucleotides) under Limosilactobacillus reuteri. RNAcentral describes it as "Lactobacillus reuteri partial 23S ribosomal RNA". It matches the Rfam family "Bacterial large subunit ribosomal RNA", at positions 269 to 557 of the family's 2925-position model. Lineage: Bacteria; Bacillati; Bacillota; Bacilli; Lactobacillales; Lactobacillaceae. The record is from RNAcentral.